UUUAGUGACACACCUAGAACUGAAAAGAUCAAGUACUGUAGAUCUCCACAGAUCUGCAGGGCUGCACCUCUCCAUAUGAACAUUUUUGAAUCAUACUGUCUGAGACAAGCACAACAAACACAUAAAGCAACGCAGUUUGACAAAACAGACGUGACCUGGAGCAUGUCACUCUGUUGUUUCCUGGAUCUGAAGAGGAGAAAAGCCUCGACCUCCAUCCUGCAUCAGCUCAAAGGCAAAGGACACAUUGUGAACCUGACGGAACGCAAAAGGGAAGGUCAGUGUAUUGACUACCUUGAGAAGAUCUUUGAAUUUAGGAUUUUCCCGCGAUGUUGGAUCCAGCAUGAUCCUCUCAGCGUUCUCCUCUGGUGAACAUAAUAUGAGAGACAUUAAGAGAGUCAGUGGAAAUAUACCCAUCAGUGUGUCCUCUGGAUGGAUGUCUGUCCCCGUGGGAAGCAUGGGAGCGUUGAUGGCAUUUUUCCCCUCCUCAUGGAGAUCGCUCACUGCAUGACUGUGCCCCAGUGCACAAAGCAAAGCUCCAUAAAGACAUGGUUGGAUGAGUUUGGGGUAGAAGAACUUGACUGGCCCACACAGAGUCCAGACCUCAAUCACAUCCAUCACCUUUGGGAUGAACUGAAACGAAGAUUGUGAACCAGGCCUUUUGGUCCUCCAUCAGUGUCUGACCUCACAAAUGCUCGACUGCAUGAACGGGCAAAAAUUCCCACAGAAACACUCCAACAUGUUGUGAAAAGCCUUUCCAGGAGAAUGGAAGUUAUUAUAGCCGCAAAGCUGUCUGUGUAUUUAGAAUACAGUGUCAUUAAAGUCUCUGUUGGUGUAAUGGUCAGAUGUCCCAAUACUUUUGUCUAUAUAUAGUAUAUCGCACCCACUUUCGCUUCAUAACGAAGCAUAUUGUCCUAAAACAAAGCUCUACACUGGUGGAAGCUGUUGUUCAGCUGUGAAUUGCAGAAACUUCAGAAACAGCUUGUAAGAAACGUUUGUCUGGGAAUUUUGAUCUGCCACACGUCUGUCACUUCCCACCAUGUGAGACUCUUUCCUUUUCACUAGAAGCUGCCUUACGGGGCAGCAGCGUCCCUCAAUGUCCCAUUCAAAAGCAAUUUAAAACCGAGUAUCUCAGGAUUUAAGAGUGUUUAAUUCCGUUAUUUUUCCAGCGUAACCACACAACAUACUCAAAAUAUGAUUAAAAUGAGAAUUUAGUCUUAAACAGUGAACAUGAGAGAUCACUAAAGGUGACAAAAGGCAACAAACAUGAAGACACAACUCGAGUCAGGCUAAAAUCCAUUUCUACUUCGAUGCUUUCACUGCUGACUGAAGAGACACCCUGGGGAUUUAAAGGCUUUCUUCCUCUAAUGGACACUUUGCUUUUAUCUUUCUGCAUUUCAAAUUGUCAGAUCUGCAGCAGACUCGACUAUAAUCAGUGCUCUCAAAUCUAACAAUUCAUUGACUUUGCUAUUUGUAAAAACCUACACGGAGAACCAAAGUGAAGAAAGAAACAGAACAAACAGCUGUGUCAUGAGCUCCUUUUCAAAUUAAAAGCAUGCGAAAUCAAUUCUUACAAUCGCAAAUAUAUUGAAAAACAGCCUCUAACAGUAUGUUUGUGGUACAAUCUGGACAAAAUCUUAACUUCAAAGUGUACAAAGAGAGGAUGUGCAAAAUUAGCCCAUGGAGGAGGAGGUCUCCACGGGUUUCCUAUCUGAUCCAGCCGCCUCAUAAGACCCGAGUCCUGAAUCUCACAACAGAUCAGCAGCUUUGCUUUGUAAUUACAGAGCGAGCUUGCUGCAUUUCAUCAUAAUUGCGCUGCUUCCUCCCUCCAUGUCCAUGCGACUGCAUUACUGCUGCUCUUGCGCUGAGCUAGGCAGAGCUUUGGCACUUCACCCAGAACAAGGUGGAUGAAAAGAGUCAAAUUAUACAAUCUAAUUAAUUUUCGAAGGCAAAUUUAUGGAGAAUGAUACGUGGAAAUAAAAAUACUUCCAUUCGGCUUUCCAGAAAUAUAACAUCAACCUCCACAAAAACACACACAGCCGAUCCAGUAAUGUUAAGUGCACAUUUGACAGUGACUUAUAGUACUUAAAUCUUGCUGGAUAUUAGCCUACAGUGCACUAAAGCAACAUGUCCUGCUUCCCCAUUUUCCACUUGAAAGUUCCUCAAACAUUAAAACCAUGUUACCUUGUUUCUUCCUCUUGGUCCCACACAGCAGUGCCGCCAUGUCCCCCCCCUGAUGGCAGCGAAGAGCGAAGGAAGGAGACACCACACUGGACGUGAACACGCCAGAGCAAAUCUGCCACACUAUCACCCUCUGGCCCGUCAAACCGUGGACACGGGACAGGCUUCACCGACGUGUGGCAGGCACCGGCGUACGAUCCAAUCACAGCGAAAACACAGCGACCUCGCACAUUCACGGGCAGACGACAGACUGGUAGAAGGAGCGCUGGUUGGGGGGCGAAAAAUACAGACCAAUGACUCACACGUGAGUUAAAGCUUCAUCUGCUCCAGUGGUUACUGACGGCUCACCCCACAGCGCCCCCAACGGCAGGAUGAGGAACAGCAUUUAUAAGGCCCUGCAGCAGACCUGUUAGGUGUUGCCACACGGCGUCACAAACCCCACUAUCUGGCAUUCGAACCAGCAGAACCAGACCGGGAUCAUACUGGUAUCCCAGAGGCAGGAGAAGGCCCAACAAGGCCUGCAUGAACCCUGACACGUCACUGCAGCCCUGUGGGAGGAGACAGACACA
Molecule: long non-coding RNA, 2747 nt
Organism: Scatophagus argus
Lineage: Eukaryota; Metazoa; Chordata; Actinopteri; Scatophagidae
Exons: 8
Source: RefSeq, a predicted model, not a curated record